AGUGAACGCUGGCGGUAGGCCUAACACAUGCAAGUCGAACGGCAGCACAGUAAGAGCUCGCUCUUACGGGUGGCGAGUGGCGGACGGGUGAGGAAUACAUCGGAAUCUACUUUUUCGUGGGGGAUAACGUAGGGAAACUUACGCUAAUACCGCAUACGACCUACGGGUGAAAGCAGGGGAUCUUCGGACCUUGCGCGAUUGAAUGAGCCGAUGUCGGAUUAGCUAGUUGGCGGGGUAAAGGCCCACCAAGGCGACGAUCCGUAGCUGGUCUGAGAGGAUGAUCAGCCACACUGGAACUGAGACACGGUCCAGACUCCUACGGGAGGCAGCAGUGGGGAAUAUUGGACAACGGGCGCAAGCCUGAUCCAGCCAUACCGCGUGGGUGAAGAAGGCCUUCGGGUUGUAAAGCCCUUUUGUUGGGAAAGAAAAGCAGCAGGUUAAUACCCCGCUGUUCUGACGGUACCCAAAGAAUAAGCACCGGCUAACUUCGUG
RNAcentral lists this ribosomal RNA (492 nucleotides) under uncultured bacterium. Its description in RNAcentral is "partial 16S ribosomal RNA". It matches the Rfam family "Bacterial small subunit ribosomal RNA", at positions 29 to 507 of the family's 1533-position model. The record is from RNAcentral.